GUCAGGGGAACCAGAGACAACAACUGUGUUGAAGAAAUAUUGCGGGAGAUGACCCAUUCUUGGCCUCCCCCUCUCACUGCUAUCAACACCCCUGGAAAUGUGGAGCCCAGCAAGUUUAUAUUUCAUGCCAAGGAUCUGAAGCAGCACGCUGUUGGGUACAACAAACAAAAGAGGUGUGAAGUUCCCGCAAAAAGCCCUCCCCAG
Molecule: long non-coding RNA, 204 nt
Organism: Polyodon spathula (Mississippi paddlefish)
Lineage: Eukaryota; Metazoa; Chordata; Actinopteri; Acipenseriformes; Polyodontidae
Exons: 4
Source: RefSeq, a predicted model, not a curated record